UCAGACGAUGCGUCAUGCAUAUCAAUAAGCGGAGGAAAAGAAACUAACAAGGAUUCCCUAGUAACGGCGAGUGAAGCGGGAGGAGCUCAAAUUUGAAAUCUUAUAGGUUUUACCUUGACGAAUUGUAGUUUAAAGAAGUGUUUUCUGUUGGAGUUUCGGUAAAAGUUCUUUGGAAUAGGACAUCAUAGAGGGUGAGAAUCCCGUAUUUGACCAUUCUUUCUAGCUGUGUGAUACACUUUCAAAGAGUCGGAUUGUUUGGGAAUGCAGUUCAAAAUAGGUGGUAAAUUUCAUCUAAAGCUAAAUAUUGGCGAGAGACCGAUAGCGAACAAGUACCGUGAGGGAAAGAUGAAAAGAACUUUGAAAAGAGAGUUAAACAGUACGUGAAAUUGUCAAAAGGGAAGCGUUUGACACCAGUGUUGUUUUCUCGAAAAUCAAUUAAAAGAGUUGGAUUUAUGCAAGUUGUAUUGACCUUAUCAGCAUGCUUCACUCUUUUCCUGCUUUUUUUAAUGCACUUUUCGUUUAACAAGUCAACAUCAGUUUCUUUUGUUGUAAAAGGGUCAUUGGAAGGUGGCUUUCUCUUCGGAGAAAGUGUUUAUAGCCUUUGAUCUCUGCAAUCGGAGAGACUGAGGUCUGCAGCGUAGAUCCUUCGGGGUUAGAUACAUUUGUGCUAAGCUACAGCUUUUCAUAGACAACUUGUUGACUAUGUUUAGUCUUGUAAUUUACUCGCGAGUGCUAUUUUACCUACGCUUAGGAUGUUGAUAUGCAUGACUGAUAU
This 775-nucleotide ribosomal RNA is filed under the name uncultured Neocallimastigales. Its description in RNAcentral is "partial large subunit ribosomal RNA". It matches the Rfam family "Eukaryotic large subunit ribosomal RNA", at positions 18 to 640 of the family's 3401-position model. The record is from RNAcentral. Lineage: Eukaryota; Fungi; Neocallimastigomycota; Neocallimastigomycetes; Neocallimastigales.